Non-coding RNA from Ctenocephalides felis (cat flea), 73 nucleotides. The record is from the annotation of a RefSeq genome assembly. NCBI's taxonomy places the organism in Eukaryota, Metazoa, Arthropoda, Insecta, Siphonaptera, Pulicidae.
GGUUCCGUGGUGUAGUGGUUAUCUCAUCUGCCUAACACGCAGAACGCCGCCGGUUCGAUCCCGGUCGGAAUCA